GAUGAAGAACGUAGCGAAAUGCGAUACUUGGUGUGAAUUGCAGAAUCCCGUGAACCAUCGAGUCUUUGAACGCAAGUUGCGCCCGAAGCCACUAGGCCGAGGGCACGCCUGCCUGGGCGUCACACGUCGUUGCCCCCCACCAUCUACUCCUUCGGGAUUGCGGGGGGCGGAUGAUGGCCUCCCGUGCGCCUAGCCGCGCGGUUGGCAUAAAUACCAAGUCCUCGGCGACGCACGCCACGACAAUCGGUGGUUGCGAAACCUCGGUUGCCCGUCGUGUGCGUUCGUCGCGCAUCGAGGGAUCGAAAAAAUGCUCGGCUCCGGCUCGGCUUUCAACGCGACCCCAGGUCAGGCGGGGUUACCCGCUGAAUUUAAGCAUAUCAAUAAGCGGAGGA
This 392-nucleotide unclassified non-coding RNA is filed under the name soil metagenome. RNAcentral describes it as "partial contains 5.8S ribosomal RNA, internal transcribed spacer 2, and large subunit ribosomal RNA". The stretch from base 1 to 122 matches the Rfam family "5.8S ribosomal RNA", at positions 35 to 154 of the family's 154-position model. The record is from RNAcentral.